CCCUUAGAUGUUCUGGGCCGCACGCGCGCUACACUGACGGAGGCAGCGAGCGUGUCCUUCGCCGGCAGGUGCGGGCAAUCUUGCGAGUCUCCGUCGUGCUGGGGAUAGAUGGUUGCAAUUGUCGAUCUUGAACGAGGAAUUCCUAGUAAGCGCGAGUCAUCAGCUCGCGCUGAUUACGUCCCUGCCCUUUGUACACACCGCCCGUCGCUACUACAGAGUGCCCGUGUCCAAGAAACGGUCGGACCUGUGCGGCCUCUCCGGGCGACCGGAGGGCCGUUACGGGGAAGACCCUUUAUUUGACGCGGGUCGAUGAAGUAAAAGUCGUAACA
Molecule: ribosomal RNA, 329 nt
Filed under: uncultured eukaryote
Lineage: Eukaryota
Description: partial 18S ribosomal RNA
Rfam family: Eukaryotic small subunit ribosomal RNA
Source: RNAcentral